GUGCUUGCUUUGGCAGCACAUAUACUAAAAUUACAACAAUACAGAGAAAAUUGGCAUGGUCCCUGUGCAAGGAUGACAUGCAAAUUCAUGAAGCAUUCCAUAUUUUU
Molecule: small nuclear RNA, 107 nt
Filed under: Microcebus murinus (gray mouse lemur)
Lineage: Eukaryota; Metazoa; Chordata; Mammalia; Primates; Cheirogaleidae
Source: RNAcentral